Long non-coding RNA from Lolium rigidum, 486 nucleotides. RefSeq lists it as uncharacterized. The record is from RefSeq and is a predicted model, not a curated record. The transcript has 3 exons. Lineage: Eukaryota; Viridiplantae; Streptophyta; Magnoliopsida; Poales; Poaceae.
UCCAAGAACUUUUCCCGGAAGCUGAUUUCUCAUUACCUCCAUUUCGACCCAAUUCCUUCUGGUGUUCAUGCGAUGGCUGGAAGAAUCCUAAUGGAAUUUGAAAAUAUUGCUGCAGAUGGAUAGGUAAAUCAACUAGCUCAAUUUCUUGUUGGACAUGAACAAGCUCCCUCAGGUAUAGAAGAUCUCACAGAGGAUCUGCACCAUCAGGACAAUUUUCAUGUUCCAGCUAGAAUGCUCGUCGCUGCUGACACCAGACAAAUUUCGGAAUGCCAAUUCUAUGGAGAAACAACAGAGGAUUGCCGGAUGAUAGGAACCCUUCCCUGCUGAUGCACUACAUCACCCCUGCCCUGAUGUUCCAGCUCUACAAGCUUUGCUGCUGAACUCUGUUUGCUCUGUGUGUGCUCAUUUUAUCAGUGUACACCAUCAGCUUGAUGUGUGAUAAUUAGUUUAUGCAUCAUUUCAACCUUGUAUGUGAAGUAAACUCCU